UCCAGACUCCUACGGGAGGCAGCAGUGGGGAAUAUUGCACAAUGGGGGAAACCCUGAUGCAGCGACGCCGCGUGAGUGAAGAAGUAUUUCGGUAUGUAAAGCUCUAUCAGCAGGGAAGAAAAUGACGGUACCUGACUAAGAAGCCCCGGCUAACUACGUGCCAGCAGCCGCGGUAAUACGUAGGGGGCAAGCGUUAUCCGGAUUUACUGGGUGUAAAGGGAGCGUAGACGGCAUGGCAAGUCAGAUGUGAAAGCCCGGGGCUCAACCCCGGGACUGCAUUUGAAACUGUCAGGCUGGAGUGCAGGAGAGGUAAGUGGAAUUCCUAGUGUAGCGGUGAAAUGCGUAGAUAUCAGGAGGAACACCGGUGGCGAAGGCGGCCUGCUGGACUGCAACUGACGUUGAGGCCCGAAAGCGUGGGGAGCAAACAGGAUUAGAUACCCUAGUA
This 445-nucleotide ribosomal RNA is filed under the name uncultured bacterium. RNAcentral's name for it is "bacterial SSU rRNA". It matches the Rfam family "Bacterial small subunit ribosomal RNA", at positions 330 to 792 of the family's 1533-position model. The record is from RNAcentral.